RNAcentral lists this ribosomal RNA (483 nucleotides) under uncultured bacterium. Its description in RNAcentral is "partial 16S ribosomal RNA". It matches the Rfam family "Bacterial small subunit ribosomal RNA", at positions 28 to 523 of the family's 1533-position model. The record is from RNAcentral.
GACGAACGCUGGCGGCGUGCUUAACACAUGCAAGUCGAACGAUGAAGCCGGAGCUUGCUCCGGUGGAUUAGUGGCGAACGGGUGAGUAACACGUGAGCAAUCUGCCCUUGACUCUGGGAUAACUGCGGGAAACUGUAGCUAAUACCGGAUACGACACCUUGGGGCAUCCCAGGGUGUGGAAAGAAUUUCGGUCAAGGAUGAGCCCGCGGCCUAUCAGCUAGUUGGUGAGGUAAUGGCUCACCAAGGCGACGACGGGUAGCCGGCCUGAGAGUGGGACCGGCAAAACAGGAACUGAGACACGGUCCAGACUCCUACGGGAGGAAGGAGUGGGGAAUAUUGCACAAUGGGGGAAAGCCUGAUGCAGCAACGCCGCGGGGGGGAUGAAGGCCUUCGGGUUGUAAACCUCUUUUAGCAGGGAAGAAGCGAAAGUGACGGUAGGUGCAGAAGAAGGACCGGCCAACUACGUGCCAGCAGCCGCCGUAA